Molecule: long non-coding RNA, 323 nt
Organism: Hipposideros armiger (great roundleaf bat)
Lineage: Eukaryota; Metazoa; Chordata; Mammalia; Chiroptera; Hipposideridae
Exons: 4
Source: RefSeq, a predicted model, not a curated record
CCGGGAGCAUCCGAUUCCAAUCAGGGAUCUUCGUGUCAAUUGAACUUGUCUCGUUGUAACAAGGAAAUAUCAAGGUGACAGCAGCACUGUGAAAGAAUUCUGAGCCUGGGAAUGUGUAUUCUAGCAGCAAGCGGUGUGCAGAAUGGAGCAGGUGCCAGGAGGCCGUUUAGGAGGUCCAGCCUGAAAAUUCCAGGGCUACUCUGCCUGAUUUGGGGUCCAUGGAGCCUCGAUACCUUCUUUAUCCAUUUCUGCAGGAAUCUCUCAUGAACUACAGUCAACAGGAUGAGGCAGAGGGUGACUUACCGAUGACAAUGCCACCGAUG